UACGUAGGGUGCAAGCGUUAUCCGGAAUUAUUGGGCGUAAAGAGCUCGUAGGCGGUUUGUCGCGUCUGCUGUGAAACCCCGAGGCUCAACCUCGGGCCUGCAGUGGGUACGGGCAGACUAGAGUGCGGUAGGGGAGAUUGGAAUUCCUGGUGUAGCGGUGGAAUGCGCAGAUAUCAGGAGGAACACCGGUGGCGAAGGCGGGUCUCUGGGCCGAUACUGACGCUGAGGAGCGAAAGCGUGGGGAGCAAACAGG
Molecule: ribosomal RNA, 253 nt
Filed under: uncultured bacterium
Lineage: Bacteria
Description: partial 16S ribosomal RNA
Rfam family: Bacterial small subunit ribosomal RNA
Source: RNAcentral